AAAUUUAUUUGCUUUAUAAAUAAUUAUUAUAAAAGUAAAUUGGAUUACUCAUUGGAUGUGCUGACCCUUGUGAUUUCCUCAAACAUGGGAAACUCAAAUGCUUAAUUUGUGGUAGUGGAGGACUGUGUUCCUGUUUUCCCUUG
Molecule: small nuclear RNA, 143 nt
Filed under: Sciurus vulgaris (Eurasian red squirrel)
Lineage: Eukaryota; Metazoa; Chordata; Mammalia; Rodentia; Sciuridae
Description: U1 spliceosomal RNA (ENSSVLG00005023099.1)
Rfam family: U1 spliceosomal RNA
About the family: U1 is a small nuclear RNA (snRNA) component of the spliceosome (involved in pre-mRNA splicing).
Source: RNAcentral